This is a long non-coding RNA of Callithrix jacchus (white-tufted-ear marmoset), 3043 nucleotides long. The record is from Ensembl. Lineage: Eukaryota; Metazoa; Chordata; Mammalia; Primates; Cebidae.
AUGCUCCAAGGGAGGCUGUGGCUCCAGCUGCUGUGUGCCGGUCUGCUGCUGUGUGCCAGCCUGUUCCUGCUCUACGUUUGGAUCCCUUCCAGGAACACUCCCUGGUGGAAGCAUCUUUCCCUCUCCUGGAUUUCCCCUCUGGGUUCCCCUUCCAGGAACACUCCCCUAGUGGAAGCACCUUUCCCUCUCCUGGAUUUCCACUCUGGGGUCCCCUACCACACUCUCCUGUGGAAGCCUGUCUUCCCUCCUAAACCCCAUCUCUAUUCCCUUCCACUCAGCGUGGAAGCUCUUUUCUUCCUGGGUUCCAUCUUUCUGGAUUCUCUCACUCAGUGUGGGAGGAGCUUCCUGCCCUGGUUUCCCCCUCUGGGAACCUGCUCACUCAGCGUGAGAGUUUGCUUUUCUCUCUCCAUUUUCUCUUUAAAUAAAUCACUUUCUACAAACACUUUUGAGUCGUAUUUCCUGCGCACUGCGCCAUGGUCCCCUCUCUCAUCCUUGAGAGGCCGGGAGACCACGAACCUGGAGAAACGUCCUCUCAGGGGAGGUGAGGGCACCCUGAACCCCAAUAUUACAUGCUUACUUGUAACAGUUUAAUAGAUUUCACUCUUCGCCUUUCGCCAUGAGGAAAAGCUCGCUGAGGGCCUCCCGAGAAGCCGAGCAGAGGCGGCUGCCCUGCCUGUGGAGCUGCGGAACCAUGAGCCAGCCAAACCUCUAUCCUCUAUAAAUUACCCGGCCUCGAGCAUUUCUUUAGAGCAAGGAAAGAACGGUCUAAUACACCCAGAGAGCUGAGAAUGGCGUGAGUGAAGCAUAACGACCAUGGAUGAAUUUCAAAAUCUAAAAACGUAAAACUAAUAUUAUAGGGGGAGUCAAUGCAGGAACAUGAGGGUGCUUCGGCAGAGGCUGUCACCCACUGGUCACAUGUGGUCAGCAGAGAGCAGGAGACCAGCACCCUGGGGCUCUGUGGGAAGCACCCACAGCCUGCAGCUGAGGUUUUAAUUAUAGGGGCCAAAACAAAUGGGGAAAAAGACAAAUUUAGCACGCAAAGAAAACAGAUGCUCAUCUGAGUCAGGAGGAAGUCACCAUCAAAGAGGAAAAAAAUAGAGCUCUGGAAAAGUAGUGAAAACAGUCACAAGGAAGGGCCCCUGUGUCUUGCCUGACUCUGGACAGGUAUAUAGAGAGCCCAGGCUCAGGGGACUCCACACCUGCACCUCCCUGUCUUCUCCUCCUCUACCUACUCCACCCUCAACCCACCAGAAACAUGGGCUGCUGUGGCUGCUCCGGAGGCUGUGGCUCCAGCUGUGGGGGCUGUGGCUCCAGCUGUGGUGGGUGUGGCUCCAGCUGCUGUGUGCCUGUCUACUGCUGCAAGCCCGUGUGCUGCUGUGUGCCAGCCUGUUCCUGCUCUAGCUGUGGCUCUUGUGGGGGCUCUAAGGGUGGCUGCAGCUGUGGCUCCUGUGGGGGCUCCAAGGGAGGCUGUGGCUCUUGUGGCUGCUGCCAGUCCAGCUGCUGUAAGCCCUGCUGCUGCUCCUCAGGCUGUGGGUCAUCCUGCUGUCAGUCCAGCUGCUGUAAGCCCUGCUGUUCCCAGUCCAGCUGCUGUAAGCCCUGCUGUUCCCAGUCCAGCUGCUGUAAGCCCAGCUGCUGCUCCUCAGGCUGUGGGUCAUCCUGCUGCCAGUCCAGCUGCUGCAAGCCCUGCUGUUCCCAGUCCAGCUGCUGCUCCUCAGGCUGUGGGUCAUCCUGCUGCCAGUCCAGCUGCUGCAAGCCCUGCUGCUCCCAGUCCAGCUGCUGUGUCCCCGUGUGCUGCCAGUGCAAGAUCUGAGGCUCUAGUGGGAAUUCUCAGGAAGCUCCUAAAGAUCUGUGCUUCCCAACAAGUGACACCCCAGACGCAUAUUCUCUUCCAGAGCUGAACAAUGAGUCCCCUGCUCAGGGCUUCUUUCUCAAGCCCUUGAAGAUGUGGAUGAACCAUUCCCUAUGAGGAUAUCCCAUGACCCAGGAACUCUUGCCCCUCCUUCCCACAUGCCGUGAUGUGUCUCAGCCAGACUGCACCUGGACACGGCCCUCAUGUCAAGGAGGUGCCUGGAAUUCCCCUUCCUGAUAAUUCCAUGGGAGACAGCAAACCUUUCUUUCCUGUGUCUGCCAGGAGUUCCAUGGCAUUUGCAGAUGGAUGUCCUAUAACCCGAAUAUCACGUGUAUCUAGGGAAAUCCAAAAUGGAUCUGGGUGCAGCACUAAAUAAAUUCUCCACCCAUCAGCCUGGGUCGCACUGACUCUUUUCUUCCAGUCUCUGUCUCAUUGGCAAACUGGCCACGUGUCCUUCCCCUCCCUCCCUGAGAGCUUAUUCCUCCCACUGCUGUGACUGUUUGCCAGGCCCAGAUCCCAUUACCCCCAGAAACAGUCAUUGAACUGCUUAAUGGAGGAAUCACUAGUGUCCUGGAUGAAUGAAUGAGGAUGAGUGAAUGAAUGAGUGAAUGAGUGAGUAUGUCUCAUUAGCACACAGGGAGCCACACCUUGUCUCAAUGGAAUUCAGUCUUUUUUGAUCAGAAUCAUGGAUUCCUGGUUCUUCCCCAUAGGAGGCUAUGUUUACGGGAGAAGGAGAUUUUUGCCCUCAGUGUCUAGGAAGGGGUGUAAUGGGUGGUCUCUGUGCCCAGCCAGGGCCCAGAGUGGGGGUCAAGCCGGGAGAGGGGGAAGCGGGACCACAAUGAGCUGUGUCCCUGAGAUGCUCUGUAGGAUGGCACUGGGAACUGUGCUGCUCCAGGGACCCAAGGCGCUGUGGCCGAGCACAGGCUGAGGUGCACCCUCCAUCUCUGGGCUCAGAGUGAGGAGGAAUUCAAGUGCCCCAUGACAAUUCACAGGCUGCACAGCUUUAAUGUGGCACAGGGAGGAACAGAAGGGACUAUUCUCAGCCUGAUAAAGGACAUCCACCCACAGCAAACAACACACUUAAUAGUGAAGACCCGAAUGCUUCCCCCUAAGAUCAGGAGCAAGGAAAGGAUGUCCACACUCAGCACUUCUAUACAACAUUUCACUGAAGCUCUAGCCAGAGUAAUAUGAUGG